CGGGAAACAUUUUAUUGAAGCUUCGGCAGAUUUAGCUUGUUUCUAGUGGCGGACGGGUGAGUAACGCGUGGGUAACCUGCCUCACACUGGGGGAUAACAGUCAGAAAUGGCUGCUAAUACCGCAUAAGCGCACAGCAUCGCAUGAUGCAGUGUGAAAAACUCCGGUGGUGUGAGAUGGACCCGCGUUGGAUUAGCUAGUUGGCAGGGCAGCGGCCUACCAAGGCGACGAUCCAUAGCCGGCCUGAGAGGGUGAACGGCCACAUUGGGACUGAGACACGGCCCAGACUCCUACGGGAGGCAGCAGUGGGGAAUAUUGCACAAUGGGGGAAACCCUGAUGCAGCGACGCCGCGUGAAGGAAGAAGUAUCUCGGUAUGUAAACUUCUAUCAGCAGGGAAGAAAAUGACGGUACCUGACUAAGAAGCCCCGGCUAACUACGUGCCAGCAGCCGCGGUAAUACGUAGGGGGCAAGCGUUAUCCGGAUUUACUGGGUGUAAAGGGAGCGUAGACGGUGUUGCAAGUCUGAUGUGAAAGGCGGGGGCUCAACCCCUGGACUGCAUUGGAAACUGUGAUACUCGAGUGCCGGAGAGGUAAGCGGAAUUCCUAGUGUAGCGGUGAAAUGCGUAGAUAUUAGGAGGAACACCAGU
Molecule: ribosomal RNA, 645 nt
Filed under: uncultured Lachnospiraceae bacterium
Lineage: Bacteria; Bacillati; Bacillota; Clostridia; Lachnospirales; Lachnospiraceae
Description: bacterial SSU rRNA
Rfam family: Bacterial small subunit ribosomal RNA
Source: RNAcentral